Long non-coding RNA from Humulus lupulus (European hop), 233 nucleotides. RefSeq lists it as uncharacterized. The record is from RefSeq and is a predicted model, not a curated record. Lineage: Eukaryota; Viridiplantae; Streptophyta; Magnoliopsida; Rosales; Cannabaceae. The transcript has 3 exons.
AGGGUUUUUGAAAGGUUUUGGAGGAGCCAAAGCUAAUAGGAAGGUCCAAACCUUAAGCAAGAACACCAAAGAGUAUUGGCUAAGCGUAACUGGACUGAACGUUGGAGGGUGAAAACUUGCUGAGCGCUAAGGACUCCAAGUAAAAGCAAGGGCAAGGCAGAGCAGUGAGCGCUGGAGUCUUCCUUGCAAAUGUACAUGUGGACCGACCUUUUGGGAAGCCUUUUUAUUUUUGG